GCCCUCAAGCACGGCUUGUGUGUUGGGCCCCGUCCUCCUUCCCGGGGGACGGCCCGAAAGGCAGCGGCGGCACCGCGUCCGGUCCUCGAGCGUAUGGGGCUUCGUCUUCCGCUCUUGUAGGCCCGGCCGGCGCUUGCCGACAACAAUCAAUCUUUUUUCAGGUUGACCUCGGAUCAGGUAGGGAUACCCGCUGAACUUAA
This 200-nucleotide unclassified non-coding RNA is filed under the name soil metagenome. RNAcentral describes it as "partial contains internal transcribed spacer 2 and large subunit ribosomal RNA". The record is from RNAcentral.